UGGGGAAUUUUGGACAAUGGGCGAAAGCCUGAUCCAGCAAUGCCGCGUGUGUGAAGAAGGCCUUCGGGUUGUAAAGCACUUUUGUCCGGAAAGAAAUCCUUGGCUCUAAUACAGUCGGGGGAUGACGGUACCGGAAGAAUAAGCACCGGCUAACUACGUGCCAGCAGCCGCGGUAAUACGUAGGGUGCAAGCGUUAAUCGGAAUUACUGUGCGUAAAGCGUGCGCAGGCGGUUUGCUAAGACCGAUGUGAAAAUCCCCGGGCUCAACCUGGGAACUGCAUUGGUGACUGGCAGGCUAGAGUAUGGCAGAGGGGGGUAGAAUUCCACGUGUAGCAGUGAAAUGCGUAGAGAUGUGGAGGAAUACCGAUGGCGAAGGCAGCCCCCUGGGCCAAUACUGACGCUCAUGCACGAAAAGCGUGGGGAGCAAACAGGAUUAGAUACCCUGGUAGUCCACGCCCUAAACGAUGUCAACUAGUUGUUGGGGAUUCAUUUCCUUAGUAACGUAGCUAACGCGUGAAGUUGACCGCCUGGGGGAGUACGGUCGCAAGAUUAAAAACUCAAA
Molecule: ribosomal RNA, 561 nt
Filed under: uncultured bacterium
Lineage: Bacteria
Description: partial 16S ribosomal RNA
Rfam family: Bacterial small subunit ribosomal RNA
Source: RNAcentral